This is a long non-coding RNA of Helianthus annuus (common sunflower), 215 nucleotides long. RefSeq lists it as uncharacterized. The record is from RefSeq and is a predicted model, not a curated record. Lineage: Eukaryota; Viridiplantae; Streptophyta; Magnoliopsida; Asterales; Asteraceae. The transcript has 2 exons.
CUUGGAGUGAAAGCGGGUCAAACAAGUCAAGCAUGGAAGAAAAGCGUAGCUCGGAUGCAAGGUACACCUUGGAUGCCGGAAGACGAUCAAGCUCAGCGAAGAACCGAACACGAUAAUGAUACACGCUUCCGCAUUUUGCUACGUUGUAAUUUUUAAACAACGAAUUCGAUCACGUUAUGUAGAAUAACUUAUGAUUUAUUAAAAGUUUUAAUAAA